Small nucleolar RNA from Nothobranchius furzeri (turquoise killifish), 132 nucleotides. NCBI's taxonomy places the organism in Eukaryota, Metazoa, Chordata, Actinopteri, Cyprinodontiformes, Nothobranchiidae. The record is from Ensembl.
AACGAGGCUAGAGUCACGCCUGGUCAUGACUUGUUGGCUUGGUGUGCUAGAGCACUCGGAGAGAAAAUGUCUUUGCUUAUUCGUUGGCUGUAGUCUGUCGUGGCCCAGCCAAUCACAAUAUGAGACACAUUC